Long non-coding RNA from Zeugodacus cucurbitae (melon fly), 591 nucleotides. RefSeq lists it as uncharacterized. The transcript has 2 exons. Lineage: Eukaryota; Metazoa; Arthropoda; Insecta; Diptera; Tephritidae. The record is from RefSeq and is a predicted model, not a curated record.
AACAGACAUCCUCUGUUCGUUGUAGUGAAGGUUGAAUAUGAGGCCGAAGUCCAUCUAUAUAACUGUCUUGAUUGUGGCGUGUCUGCUUGCCUCUGAAAUGCCAAGAGUUGAUGGAUUUUUUUUGACUCUCGCUUUGACAAGAUAUGCAAUAAGAGGAAUCGGGCAAAUGAUUGAAUGUGCAGCAGCAAGCUUUGGUGGCUUUGGUUGUGGGCCAAGGCCUAAACCUCAACCCCGACCCACACCUCAAAAAUCACUUUGUGUCCUAUUCGGACCACAGAUGAGUCUUAAUUGUAUUUGUAACCCGAAAUUAAUAUGCUAGGCGAAAGAAAAAGAAAACAAUAAGUAAUAAUAGUAAUACGGAUAUCCCGGCGGAAAAAGAGCGAUAUAACAGAUUCCACGAGUAAGGAUAAGGAGAUGUAUAGUUCGGCAUCAAAUAAGGAACGCAAAAAACCAAACUUCUGCCGACAUAUAUGAAUACUUCGACAUAUAUCCAUGAAGUAAAGAGGAGAAAUAAAUGAAUUGAAAUAAUGGGGAUUUAAAUAAAAGUUUCAGAAAAAAAUGUUUUUUUCCCUUUUUCUGUUCAAACCCAAA